UACGUAGGACCCAAGCGUUAUCCGGAGUGACUGGGCGUAAAGAGUUGCGUAGGUGGUUUGUAAAGUGAAUAGUGAAAUCUGGUGGCUCAACCAUACAGGCUAUUAUUCAAACUCACAAACUCGAGAAUGGUAGAGGUAACUGGAAUUUCUUGUGUAGGAGUGAAAUCCGUAGAUAUAAGAAGGAACACCAAUGGCGUAGGCAGGUUACUGGACCAUUUCUGACACUGAGGCACGAAAGCGUGGGGAGCGAACCGGAUUAGAUACCCCGUAGUCC
This 274-nucleotide ribosomal RNA is filed under the name uncultured prokaryote. Its description in RNAcentral is "partial 16S ribosomal RNA". It matches the Rfam family "Bacterial small subunit ribosomal RNA", at positions 524 to 796 of the family's 1533-position model. The record is from RNAcentral.